RNAcentral lists this small RNA (427 nucleotides) under Cryptococcus neoformans H99. Its description in RNAcentral is "Cryptococcus neoformans var. grubii H99 hypothetical RNA". The record is from RNAcentral. Lineage: Eukaryota; Fungi; Basidiomycota; Tremellomycetes; Tremellales; Cryptococcaceae.
GUGGCUCCUAUUAAUUAUUAUCCAUUCUCACUCUUCCUGACGUGAUCGAAUUCUACAUCGCAGCUUUCGCCUCUACCUGGGGCCCGGGCGCAUAUGCUGUAUGUUCCGAGAUCUUCCCUCUCAACAGCCAAGCCAAGAGGAUAUCUGGCGGCAAAGCAACUUACAUUUAUCGAACCUCGACUCCUUUAUGGUGUGGUGUCACCGCACUACCUUUAGGUGGUGUAACGCAUGUCGAGUAAUCGCGAGGAAGAGAGAGAGGCAGAGGAAUAUGAGAAGGGAAAGAGAGCGGGAAAAGAGGCGGCUAGGUCUAUGUAUUUGGGUAACUAGAUGCUGGGUUCGUGGAUGGAAUAGGAUUUAGUGUCUCUAUUGUUGUCGUACAUGGAGUACUUUGCUCCCGGACUUGCAUUGAGGGAUAUAUGCAAAAAAU